GUCCACACGGUAAACGAUGGAUACUCGCUGUUGGCGAUAUACUGUCAGCGGCCAAGCGAAAGCAUUAAGUAUCCCACCUGGGGAGUACGCCGGCAACGGUGAAACUCAAAGGAAUUGACGGGGGCCCCGCACAAGCGGAGGAACAUGUGGUUUAAUUCGAUGAUACGCGAGGAACCUUACCCGGGCUUAAAUUAUGCAUGAAUGAUCUGGAGACAGAUCAGCCGCAAGGCAUGUAUGAAGGUGCUGCAUGGUUGUCGU
Molecule: ribosomal RNA, 258 nt
Filed under: uncultured bacterium
Lineage: Bacteria
Description: partial 16S ribosomal RNA
Rfam family: Bacterial small subunit ribosomal RNA
Source: RNAcentral